GAAAGACUCUGCUGGGCCUGCAACCUAGA
This 29-nucleotide small RNA is filed under the name Bombyx mori (domestic silkworm). RNAcentral describes it as "ovarian small RNA-4995". The record is from RNAcentral. Lineage: Eukaryota; Metazoa; Arthropoda; Insecta; Lepidoptera; Bombycidae.